GCACUUGUAGUGGUAAACAAAUAAUUUGGUGAGAAAACCUAACAAAGCGGGUCCGGGGUGAGGAUUGGCAGUGUGGAAGAAGGAAAAAGGCCAAGAUAAGAAGACAAGAGGAUUCACCAAAGAGGAUGAAAAAGAAAAGGAACAUGAGCAAAUACACAUGUAAAUCAUAGCUAUAACAGAAUUCUAACGAAAGCUUGGAGUUAAUUUUGGAAAAGACAAUUUCAGGAAUUGAGACAGCUUAUAGAUGCAUAUCUCUUCAACGUAGAAAAAAGUCAUCUUUAAUAAAUGACUGGAGAUGGAACAUCAUGAAGUUUAUAAUGAAAUCAGUAACAUGCUAAGAUGAAU
Molecule: long non-coding RNA, 345 nt
Organism: Saccostrea cuccullata (small rock oyster)
Lineage: Eukaryota; Metazoa; Mollusca; Bivalvia; Ostreida; Ostreidae
Exons: 3
Source: RefSeq, a predicted model, not a curated record